Molecule: small nuclear RNA, 106 nt
Filed under: Carlito syrichta (Philippine tarsier)
Lineage: Eukaryota; Metazoa; Chordata; Mammalia; Primates; Tarsiidae
Source: RNAcentral
GUGCUCACUCGGCAGCACAUACAAUAAAAUUGGAACGAUCCAGAGAAGAAUCUCAUGGCCCCUGCACAAGGAUGACAUGCAAAAUCGUGAAGUAUUCCAUACUUUU